GUGGAAGAAGACAGCAGAGAGUAAGAAGAAGGUCCGUUGUACAUGGGGGACAAAUCUUGACUCUUGGAGACCUCAGAAGGAAUUGAUGCAUUCUCAAAUGCUGGCUGAACCUGGGUUGGUCUAUUCAGUUGACAGGAUCCUAUGACUCUUUCCACAUCGUAUUAGAGCACUCCCUGUGAAGUAAGGACAAGAAUCAUGCUAACAGGGGAGAAAAACUGCCAUGUGGAAAUCCUGCACUCAACAUGUGAGGGGAGGUGAAAGCCAAGAAAUAGAAAGAUGUCCUUUCUGUAUGUGGCGAUGCUAAGGAAAUGCUGUCUCUACAUUGUUUAUCCGGAUCCACAGAAAAUGACUUUUGCGGUCACACUUCAUUUUGUAGCAUUUUUUGCAAAUCAUUUGGAUUAAGGUAGCACACAACCAUGGUGUUGAACUAAGUGGAAUGUGUGGCUGGAUAUGGAAGUUUACUGACAACCCAACCAGAGUUGGGAAGCUUGAAAGCUCUGCUGUGGCUCCGGGAGCUGUCUGUGAACCCAGGUGAAGUUUUGGCUCAGCUAAGAGGUAACUUGAUCCAAGUAUAAGCAAGAUAGAAUUAUCAUGGUCCGGAGCAGAUGGAUGGGGUGAAUCACAUGAAAUCAGCCUAAAUUUAUCAGAAGCCAUCAGCAAAGUUUCUUCUAUUUAUGUCUAGUGUUCUAGUUAUCUAUUGCCGCAUAUCAAAGUAUCGCAAAACUUAGUGGAUUAAAACAGCUAUUUUAUUAUAUUUCAUGAUUUGCAUGGGUCAGGAAUGCAGGCCGGGCUUGGCUGAACAAUUCUGUUCCCCGUGGCACGAACGACGGUUACUCAGAGGUAUUCAGCUGGCAGAUGGGCUGGUGGGAAGGGUCUGAGAUGGCUUCACUCACACAUCAGGCUCACGGGUGGACCUUGCUGGAAGGUUGGGCUCAGUGGGCACUGUUGAUCAGAGAACCAAGUCUCCUGUGAACAAAGUGGAAGCUACGUGGCUUUUUAUGACCUAGCUUUGGAGUCAUAUAGGGUCACCUCUGCCAUACUACACGUCAAAGCAGUCACAAACACACCCAGAUUCAAGGGGAAGGGACUCAAACCCAACCCCUCAAUGGUAGGCUGUGUAAAGUGCAACUUCCAAUUUGGGUUAGAAGCUAAGAGGGGAGGUGCGAGCCUGCAGGCUUUCUCUGAGUCUGAGAUCAUAGCUGCAGCUGCUUUGCCUGGGGAUUUGUGACCUAGGGCACAGGCAGGGAGGGAACUGGGAAGGAGGGAUCUGACGUGGCUAAAUCUCUGCUCUCCUGACAGUGCUCCCUGCUCCCGCUUGUGCUUGGCUGGCAGACAGCUCUGCACCCAGGGCUGCAGUCCUGACUAAAGAGCUGAGUGAAGGGUUUCUCCUGCUCCAGACACUGGGCCCCUGGAACUGAGAAGAGGGGAGGAGGCCAGCGUGGAAGGGUGUGUCUGAUCUGAACAAUGGGCAAAUCAAGCAGGGAUCAGGAGCCUGAGAAAUAAUGCCCAGAGUUGCUCAUUACAUGGGAG
This 1530-nucleotide long non-coding RNA is filed under the name Equus caballus (horse). RNAcentral's name for it is "lncRNA (ENSECAG00000055424.1)". The record is from RNAcentral. Lineage: Eukaryota; Metazoa; Chordata; Mammalia; Perissodactyla; Equidae.